CCUACGGGUGGCUGCAGUGAGGAAUAUUGGUCAAUGGGCGUAAGCCUGAACCAGCCAAGUCGCGUGAGGGAUGAAGGCUCUACGGAUCGUAAACUUCUUUUAUAAGGGAAUAAAGUGCGGGACGUGUCCCGUUUUGUAUGUACUUUAUGAAUAAGGAUCGGCUAACUCCGUGCCAGCAGCCGCGGUAAUACGGAGGAUCCGAGCGUUAUCCGGAUUUAUUGGGUUUAAAGGGAGCGUAGGUGGCCUUUUAAGUCAGUGGUGAAAGUUUGUGGCUCAACCGUAGAAUUGCAGUUGAAACUGGGAGGCUUGAGUAUAGUUGAGGCAGGCGGAAUUCGUGGUGUAGCGGUGAAAUGCUUAGAUAUCACGAAGAACCCCGAUUGCGAAGGCAGCCUGCCAAGCCGUGACUGACGCUGAUGCACGAAAGCGUGGGGAUCAAACAGGAUUAGAUACCCGAGUAGUC
This 460-nucleotide ribosomal RNA is filed under the name uncultured bacterium. RNAcentral describes it as "partial 16S ribosomal RNA". It matches the Rfam family "Bacterial small subunit ribosomal RNA", at positions 338 to 795 of the family's 1533-position model. The record is from RNAcentral.